GACGAACGCUGGCGGCGUGCUUAACACAUGCAAGUCGAACGGAAAGGCCCUGCUUUUGUGGGGUGCUCGAGUGGCGAACGGGUGAGUAACACGUGAGUAACCUGCCCUUGACUUUGGGAUAACUUCAGGAAACUGGGGCUAAUACCGGAUAGGAGCUCCUGCUGCAUGGUGGGGGUUGGAAAGUUUCGGCGGUUGGGGAUGGACUCGCGGCUUAUCAGCUUGUUGGUGGGGUAGUGGCUUACCAAGGCUUUGACGGGUAGCCGGCCUGAGAGGGUGACCGGCCACAUUGGGCUUGGGAUACGGCCCAGACUCCUACGGGAGGCAGCAGUGGGGAAUAUUGCACAAUGGGCGGAAGCCUGAUGCAGCAACGCCGCGUGCGGGAUGACGGCCUUCGGGUUGUAACCCGCUUUCGCCUGUGACGAAGCGUGAGUGACGGUAAUGGGUAAAGAAGCACCGGCUAACUACGUG
This 468-nucleotide ribosomal RNA is filed under the name uncultured bacterium. Its description in RNAcentral is "partial 16S ribosomal RNA". It matches the Rfam family "Bacterial small subunit ribosomal RNA", at positions 28 to 507 of the family's 1533-position model. The record is from RNAcentral.